GACGAACGCUGGCGGCGUGCUUAACACAUGCAAGUCGAACGGAAAGGCCCUGCUUGCAGGGUGCUCGAGUGGCGAACGGGUGAGUAACACGUGGGUGAUCUGCCCCUUACUUUGGGAUAAGCCUGGGAAACUGGGUCUAAUACUGGAUAGGACCAUGCUGUAGGUGGUGUGGUGGAAAGAUUAGUUUCGGUAAGGGAUGAGCUCGCGGCCUAUCAGCUUGUUGGUGGGGUAAUGGCCUACCAAGGCGUCGACGGGUAGCCGGCCUGAGAGGGUGGACGGCCAAAUUGGGACUGGGAUACGGCCCAGACUCCUACGGGAGGGAGCAGUGGGGAAUAUUGGACAAUGGGGGGAAGGCUGAUGGCGCGACGCCGCGUGGGGGAUGACGGCCUUCGGGUUGUAAACUCCUUUCAGCCAUGACGAAGCCCUUGUGGUGACGGUAGUGGUAGAAGAAGCACCGGCUAACUACGUG
This 469-nucleotide ribosomal RNA is filed under the name uncultured bacterium. RNAcentral describes it as "partial 16S ribosomal RNA". It matches the Rfam family "Bacterial small subunit ribosomal RNA", at positions 28 to 507 of the family's 1533-position model. The record is from RNAcentral.